UAGGGAAUCUUCCGCAAUGGACGAAAGUCUGACGGAGCAACGCCGCGUGAGUGAAGAAGGCUUUCGGUUCGUAAAACUCUGUUGUUAGGGAAGAAAAAAUGUAUAGUAACUAUAUACAAAAGAGACGGUACCUAACCAGAAAGCCACGGCUAACUACGUGCCAGCAGCCGCGGUAAUACGUAGGUGGCAAGCGUUGUCCGGAAUUAUUGGGCGUAAAGCGCGCCCAGGUGGUUUAGAAAGUCUGAUGUGAAAGCCCACGGCUCAACCGUGGAGGGUCAUUGGAAACUAAUAAACUUGAGUGCAGGAGAGAAAAGUGGAAUUCCUAGUGUAGCGGUGAAAUGCGUAGAGAUUAGGAGGAACACCGGUGGCGAAAGCGGCUUUUUGGCCUGCAACUGACACUGAGGCGCGAAAGCGUGGGGAGCAAACAGG
RNAcentral lists this ribosomal RNA (429 nucleotides) under Verrucomicrobiota bacterium. RNAcentral's name for it is "Verrucomicrobia bacterium partial 16S ribosomal RNA". It matches the Rfam family "Bacterial small subunit ribosomal RNA", at positions 355 to 776 of the family's 1533-position model. The record is from RNAcentral. Lineage: Bacteria; Pseudomonadati; Verrucomicrobiota.